GAGGAUAUAGCUCAGUGGUAGAGCGUGUGCUUAGCAUGCACGAGGUCCUGAGUCCAAUCCUCAGUACCUCCA
Molecule: transfer RNA, 72 nt
Filed under: Camelus bactrianus (Bactrian camel)
Lineage: Eukaryota; Metazoa; Chordata; Mammalia; Artiodactyla; Camelidae
Also listed under: 2 other names
Rfam family: tRNA
About the family: Transfer RNA (tRNA) molecules are approximately 80 nucleotides in length. Their secondary structure includes four short double-helical elements and three loops (D, anti-codon, and T loops).
Source: Rfam by way of RNAcentral